ACUCCUACGGGAGGCAGCAGUGGGGAAUAUUGCACAAUGGGGGAAACCCUGAUGCAGCCAUGCCGCGUGUGUGAAGAAGGCCUCGGUUGUAAAGCACUUUCAGUAGGGAGGAAGGUAGUGUAGUUAACACCUGCAUUAUUUGUACGUUACCUACAGAAGAAGCACCGGCUAACUCCGUGCCAGCAGCCGCGGUAAGUACGGAGGGUGCGAGCGUUAAUCGGAAUUACUGGGCGUAAAGCGCAUGCAGGCGGCCUGUUAAGUCAGAUGUGAAAGCCCGGGGUCUUAACCUCGGAAUUGCAUUUGAAACUGGCAGGCUAGAGUCUUGUAGAGGGGGUUAGAAGUUUCAGGUGUAGCGGUGAAAUGCGUAGAGAUCUGAAGG
Molecule: ribosomal RNA, 379 nt
Filed under: uncultured bacterium
Lineage: Bacteria
Description: bacterial SSU rRNA
Rfam family: Bacterial small subunit ribosomal RNA
Source: RNAcentral